Molecule: long non-coding RNA, 233 nt
Filed under: Lathyrus oleraceus (garden pea)
Lineage: Eukaryota; Viridiplantae; Streptophyta; Magnoliopsida; Fabales; Fabaceae
Description: Pisum sativum (pea) long non-coding RNA (PSAT_LNC035517)
Source: RNAcentral
CAAGUUGCUUAAGCAAAGCAAAGCAAUAGUUCACAAGGAACUGAGCAACUAAAGUACCUGGAAACAAUCAAACUCAGUCAGUAAUCAAUCAGACAAACUAUACGGCAAACAAUCAAACAUUUAAACAAUACAACACAAAGCAAGCUCAAGGCUUAAGCCCAAGCUCCAACACCUACAAAAAAAUGUUAUGUUAGUGUACAAACAUCCACAACAUCAAUCAAAAUUGGAUUUGG